This 314-nucleotide unclassified non-coding RNA is filed under the name uncultured fungus. RNAcentral's name for it is "partial contains 5.8S ribosomal RNA and internal transcribed spacer 2". The stretch from base 1 to 133 matches the Rfam family "5.8S ribosomal RNA", at positions 22 to 154 of the family's 154-position model. Lineage: Eukaryota; Fungi. The record is from RNAcentral.
UGGCUCUGGCAUNGAUGAAGAACGCAGCGAAAUGCGAUAAGUAAUGUGAAUUGCAGAAUUUAGUGAAUCAUCGAAUCUUUGAACGCACAUUGCGCCCCCUGGUAUUCCGGGGGGCAUGCCUGUUCGAGCGUCAUUACAGCCCUCAAGCUCUGCUUGGCCUUGGGCGUCACCGGUCUCGGUGUGCCUUAAAAUCAGUGGCGGUGCUGCCCGGCUCCGAGCGUAGUACAUGCUCUCGCUAUGGAUGCUGGGUGGAGGCUUGCCAGAACCUGAAAUUUAUCCAGGUUGACCUCGGAUCAGGUAGGGAUACCCGCUGA